GCCGACUUAGCUCAGCUGGCAGAGCAUCUGUCUUGUAAACAGAAGGUCGCGGGUUCGAUCCCCGCAGUCGGCU
Non-coding RNA from Gulosibacter sp. 10, 73 nucleotides. Lineage: Bacteria; Bacillati; Actinomycetota; Actinomycetes; Micrococcales; Microbacteriaceae. The record is from Rfam.